UUUUGUUUCAUGACCUCCAGAUUAACAACCGCAAACCUCAUCUGAUUUUUUUCUUUCUAUUAUCUGGUCAAACUCAGCUGUUAUUCUUCAUCAGGUUUUCUGCCCAUGGUGAGGAACUGCAAACAGAAAGUACGAAGGGAAACACUGAAGCCCAUUAAGUUCGGCUGAACUCUGACAUAUCUAUACAGCCCCAGGCGAUGGCUGCGGAUCAUGUGGCUCAUGCAAGAGCCUGGUGUUUUCACUGUCAACAGCCAUUAUAGUUCAAGGUGACAUGAAUGGAAGCACAAAAAUCACAUCACAAAAUGCUAGGAGUAACAAAGCCUUGCAAGUCUGUCUGAGACAGAGAAGAUGAAGAGGUUACAGGAGGACGCAGCUAAGCCAAAGGAGGUCACUGGAUGAGUCAUGCAUAGACUCAGAUCCACAGAUAUCAAGGAGAACAGAAAAUGUGUGUGAUAUCCGCCAGCUGGAUCCCAUCUGUCUUUUCUCUGCGGAGAUGGAGUUUCAAAGUCUACAUCCUAUCUAUUGUCACACCCUCGCUCUACAUGAGAAGCUAAGUGUAAAGUUUGGCUACAGUGAUGGAAAAACAAUAUCUCUUUAGUGCAUCACAACUAUUUCCCUACCUACACAAAAGU
This 632-nucleotide long non-coding RNA is filed under the name Struthio camelus australis. Its description in RNAcentral is "lncRNA (ENSSCUG00000015474.1)". The record is from RNAcentral. Lineage: Eukaryota; Metazoa; Chordata; Aves; Struthioniformes; Struthionidae.